CCUACGGGAGGCAGCAGUGGGGAAUAUUGGGCAAUGGGCGCAAGCCUGACCCAGCAACGCCGCGUGAAGGACGAAGGCUUUCGGGUUGUAAACUUCUUUUGACAGGGAAGCGCAGAAGACGGUACCUGUCGAAUAAGCCACGGCUAACUACGUGCCAGCAGCCGCGGGCAUACGUAGGUGGCAAGCGUUGUCCGGAUUUAGUGGGUGUAAAGGGCGUGUAGGCGGGCUGACUAGGCAGACGGUAAAUGCGAGGGCUCAAACGCCGGACUGCCUUGGAAACUGUUGGUCUUGUGUAGCGGAGAGGUAGGCGGAAUGCGUAGUGUAGCGGUGCAAUGCUGAGA
RNAcentral lists this ribosomal RNA (341 nucleotides) under uncultured bacterium. RNAcentral's name for it is "partial 16S ribosomal RNA". It matches the Rfam family "Bacterial small subunit ribosomal RNA", at positions 338 to 694 of the family's 1533-position model. The record is from RNAcentral.